AAAACAUAACCCGGUCCGGUCGAGCGUCACUAGCCAGAUAAAGCUAGCUGGCUGCUUAUAACCUUAGCUUUGGUCAACAGGGUUAAGUAGCUGGCUAGCUAUUUAUUUUCAUGAACUGAAGUUCAAUUUCAAUUGGCAAACAACAAGUGGCUACCUAGCUAAAACGUACUCACAAGGAUUCCUUGUUAAGGAUAAUGAAAAUGACUGCAGUUUCUACUGGUCGUUGUUUUCAGGCUGGUUGUAUUGGUGCUAGCUAGGUACCACGCUAAAGCUAGCUAGCUACCCCAGAAGAUGCAGUCAAACAAAUAAUGUCUUAUUACCAUCGUGGUAUUGUAAACAUAUCGUUUGUGGCCAUUGUGUGCUUGUUUGCAGACUUUUUUGUACAGCUUUGACAGUGCUACUGAUAGUGGUGGCGCUUGGCUUACACGUGCAAAUUCAUCACACACAACAUUCUAAUAGAAUUAUUCUAUAUGUGUAGGGAAGUAUUUAAACACUUGCUUAGGUCCAACCUCUGAUCUUUCCAAGGAUUUUUUAUAUGCCAAACUGGAACCCAAACAAUGCAAAAACUGGGCAUCGACGCGUCGCAACUCCAAUAACCCUUCCUUGAGCCUAUGCCUCUGACAGCACAAUGACUGAUGACUCCCCUUCAGGCUACAGGAAUGGAACCAGGGAACAGUGAGGGAAGGGUUGAGGUUCUGGGAUAAAUUUAUUGGACGGACAGGAAGGGUGCCCACGAUGUCCCGGAGCAGAUGGCGACCCUCUCCUUUGCUGACGUCCGUAGGGAAUUCAAGACCCUUCUUAGCAUUCCUUUAGAGUGCUCCGACAGAUAUGUAGCCUAUGGAACUCUUGAGUGUCACUGUGCAACAUUAACCACACACAUAUUCUUUGUUGUUCUUCGUUAGCUAGCUAGCUUCUUCCAAAAGAGUCCCUAGCAACAGAUGAUGAUGAUGAGUUACUGAUGGCCUGCUUGCUGGUUCCAGAGGCAAGUAGGUAUGGCUGCCGUCUUCCCUCCGUCCCAGGUACUCAUCCAGGCUCCUACAAGAAAGAAGAAAAAGACAAAAGAACAAAAAAUUAUAUUCAACACAUGCUGAAAAGAACAAAAAAUUAUAUUCAACACUUAUGCUGAGCGGGCUUUGAUGAUAGGAUGUUCAAAGGAGUAGGAGGGAAGACAUGUCCCUGUCCCACUGUAAACAAGAAUUGCUGAUAUUAGUUUUGCCCAGCAUCAAAUGAACUCAUCACCAACAGUUCAAGUGCUUUAAGUUCCCUACAAGGACCCCAAGUGAAGACGUUGCAGGCAAAGAUGUCGAGAUUGUCUGCGCUUAUGGAUUGUAGACUCUUUGGGAUAGUUAUGACAACCCCUUCUACCUCAAAAGAUUGUCUUACUACUACAAUAAAUGUAUUUAUUGCAUUGAAUGUGUUUUAUGCACCUGUGUGGUGUGUCAUGUCAUGUGUGUACUCCACCAUUUUACAAAUGAAGUUCUUUGUGGAAAAAUACAGUCAUUUGAAUUAAAUAAUUUGAUUGAACAAAUUCACCUGGAUGGUCAUCGGAUGCUUGCCCCUCUUGCUGGUCCCUGGCAGACCUCAG
Molecule: long non-coding RNA, 1585 nt
Filed under: Salmo salar (Atlantic salmon)
Lineage: Eukaryota; Metazoa; Chordata; Actinopteri; Salmoniformes; Salmonidae
Description: lncRNA (ENSSSAG00000095037.1)
Source: RNAcentral